Molecule: long non-coding RNA, 627 nt
Organism: Solenopsis invicta (red fire ant)
Lineage: Eukaryota; Metazoa; Arthropoda; Insecta; Hymenoptera; Formicidae
Exons: 2
Source: RefSeq, a predicted model, not a curated record
GUACGAAAACUCACACCGUGUGAAGCCACGGCCAGUAGCACUGCCAGUACCAUUGCCCGUACGGUAGCAAGUAAGAAAAUCCAGUUAGAAAUCCAGUAAGAAAAAACGUAUUGUCUGCGACAGGCUUUAUUGACCCGACUUCUGGUAGAAGUAACGGUAUCGUUUUCAUUCCCUGCAAAUGUGGCUGUUAAUUUCAAAUCUGUACCCCCUCCCGGAUUUGUCGUAGAUUCUAAGGCACUAUUAGAGUUGGAAGCGGAGAGUUCUUCAAAUUGUUGAAACACGGACAAAGGAGCGGACGGGAUUCCUGAAGAAUCCGGUGUUUUGUUGGGAUGAGAAGGAGGGUUCCGGGUGAGAGUCCCGGUGGACGAACGCCCAAGCCCCCCGCCCGGGUCCCGAUCCGCUAUGAUGCCAGCUAGGCGGUAGCCGGCCUAGCUAGAAAAUCAGCGAUCCGCGCGAAAACACUCGAUGACAACGGAAAGAUUGUUAGAUUCAAAGAAUCCAGCAAAUAUUGUAAUUGAAACUUGAAAUUAUGCAAUGAAGAACAAUUCAGAUGAUUGGUUUUAUUCAACAGUCUAUAUGUAAAAACGAUGGGACAACGCUGCUUUCGAAUAAAGUUCACAAUCCGAA